Molecule: ribosomal RNA, 803 nt
Filed under: uncultured bacterium
Lineage: Bacteria
Description: bacterial SSU rRNA
Rfam family: Bacterial small subunit ribosomal RNA
Source: RNAcentral
GCCAUGGUUCGCGGGAUUAGUUUGAUCCUGGCUCAGGAUGAACGCUAGCGGCAGGCCUAAUACAUGCAAGUCGAACGGUAAGGCCCUUUCGGGGGUACACGAGUGGCGGACGGGUGCGUAACGCGUAUGCAACAUGCCUUCCAGCGGGGGAUAUGCCAGGGAAACUUGGUGCAAUACCCCAUGGUAUUCUCGGGUCACAUGGCCUGGGGAUUAAAACUCCGGUGCUGGAGAUUGGCAUGCGUGACAUUAGCUAGUUGGCGGGGUAACGGCCCACCAAGGCGACGAUGUCUAGCUGGUCUGAGAGGAUGAUCAGCCACACUGGGACUGAGACACGGCCCAGACUCCUACGGGAGGCAGCAGUAGGGAAUAUUGGACAAUGGGCGAAAGCCUGAUCCAGCCAUGCCGCGUGAGGGAAGAAGGUCCUCUGGAUCGUAAACCUCUUUUGGCGGGGAAUAAACCUGCGCUAUACGCGCAGCUGAAGGUACCCGCAGAAUAAGCACCGGCUAACUCCGUGCCAGCAGCCGCGGUAAUACGGAGGGUGCAAGCGUUGUCCGGAUUCAUUGGGUUUAAAGGGUGCGUAGGCGGCCUUGUAAGUCAGCGGUGAAAUACCCUCGCUCAACGAGGGAACUGCCGUUGAUACUGUGAGGCUUGAGUUCGUGCGAGGUUGCUGGAAUGCGUGGUGUAGCGGUGAAAUGCAUAGAUAUCACGCAGAACACCGAUUGCGAAGGCAGGUGACUGGCACGCGACUGACGCUGAGGCACGAAAGUGUGGGGAGCAAACAGGAUUAGAUACCCUGGUAGUCC